AAGUGAGUUGGGCGACGGUCCACUAGAGUGCUGUUUCCGAACAGGAGCGUUAUGGAACAGUUCCAGCAGCCUCUGCACUUGUGUGUGUAGCAUAUUAGCGCCGUUAGCGAACACCUGCUAGUUCCUGUGCAGUUGGGAGUUGUUGUUGUCAGUAAUGGUGUUUCUCCGCUGAGCUCCCGGUGCCGCUGCUGAGCGCGGCGCUUCAUUAAAGUGGCAGCCGGUGGAGAGCAGCCGUUAGCCGGCUGUGUGAGGGGAUUUUAUCGCGCUUCGCCCCUGCCUGCGCUCCACACAGGGACUAUAGACCGUUUGCCCAUGAGCCUCUCUGAUUUAGCCGCGUCCGCCAUCUUUGCGCAAUAACACAUGCGGAGGGAGCAGCAAGGACCUUCAGACCAAAUGGCGCAGACUCGCGCAGGUCUCGGCUGCUGGAGCUGUUCUGCUCAGGCUGGAGGCGGAUUGUUGAGUUGAGCCGCUGCUCCAAUGCGAGAAAGAGCCCAAAUGGAAGCUCGAACCCGGAGGCGGCAGAGACAGACAGCGGCUUGCACAUCUCAACACAUGGAGCAGAAAAGAAAGCAGCUGCAAAUCUGCCCGAGUCUGUGCGGAUCAUUCCGGAAAGGCCGAGUUUAUAUUUCUGCCGUUUAUGUGAACCAGAGACAAAAUAUAUAAAGCUGUGAUCCGCAUGUAAGCGCUGCUCCGAUUUCUAUUGCAGCUCCAAAUGCGCAGGCGCAGUAAAGCGCAGGAGCUGAGCUCGGGGAAAUGGCGCUGAGAAGAGGCAGCGAUCAGGUCCACCAUCCUAUUUGCACAUCAUCCAUAUUCAAAAGGCUUUAUAAUAAGUAAAUGGCUUUGAAGAUGGUGACUCCUGUGAUCCUAAAGAUCAUAUUGACUGAUUGCAGCUCUCAGAGGUCGAUUGUCUCCCAUGGACUCCCUGAAUCCAUUGAUGACCUUAUUGUUGAAGUCAAGAAACAGUGUGAACUUCAGGGCAACUUUAGACUUCAAUUUAUGGAUUCCUUGUUUGGAAACAAGUUCCUUAACCUGACCUCAGUGUCAGAAGUGGAAGACAAAGGUACUCUUACUGAUAUGUCAAGGCCCACCACUAUGCAACAUGAGAGCUCUACUGUGCUUAGUCCAGUCUUACACCUCCAAGCAUUCAGUCCUUGCUCAGCAACUGACUCUUCAUCCCUGUCAGGUGAACUUGUGGAUACAGAUAUACUGUCAUCAAGCGAGUCUACAAGCUCACGGUCCUCCUGGCCAGCUGUUUCAUGUACCAAAGUUCUCCUAUGAUGCAGAGUUAAAACUUCAGCGAGCAGGUUUAGCUUACAUUCAAAAUGGCACUGUACUUAUUCCAGAUCCCAAGUUGAAGUCAGCCAUCCUUGAUGGUUCAGUGCAGGAACUUGUGCAGUAUAAAGUCUGUCAGUGAUGAGGAGAUGGAACAGGUAGCCCAAAGUCUCAUCAAGAAACAUCCAUGUUUAACUGAGAAGGGGUCCUGCACUGGAUGUGGUGGAUGGAAGAUCAGUUUAAAAUAUACAGUAAUGUAGGUACCUUCCACUGUCUCUUUAAGAACUACAUUUCCCAUCAGCCCACUUCCGCGUUGACCUGCGUCACGCCGGGGCGGGAUCACCAACGUUACUUCCUACAGGAAAGCAUAAGACCAACUGGAAACUCCUCCUCGUUCUCUUUGGCGCUGUGGACCUCGCGUCGUACAGGCAUAAAGAGACACCCUCUCAUCAGAACAAACCAGAUAAAGACGUCUUUUUCUUUCUUUCUUGUAAGAUCCACCAGUUAGCGCAAUUUCUUUGUUUACCACUGGCCACGGUAAAAAUCCAGAGUCGCGCGAUCUUUAAACUCAAACUGAGUUACAGCCGGUUUAUUCGUAUUAGAAGUGACGUCACGACUGCUGCCCAAACGCAGUUUUUUAAUUCAAAGUUAAAAGUUAAGAAGUGACUAAAUCCUUUUUAACUCGAAAGCGCUGUGCACAUUAUUUUGAUCAGAGACUUUCUUUUCAUCACGCCGGACCCAAGAAGUUCUCCGCGCUUUCUACACGAGCGGCUCACGUGCUCUACAACGGCGAAGCUCUACAACGGCGAACAUUUCUUCAUAUCUUGCUAAAGGCAAGAAUAUUAAGUAAGACUUUGGCAUUUGGGCAUAAUUAAGCUAGUCUUAGGAAUUUGCUUUAUUGAAAUAGUGUGAAUUUAAACCCAGGUUUAUCUGUUACACUGUUGAACACGUAGCGUGUUGAAUUGAUUUAUUUUGUUGUAAGGCCAAAAAAAAAAUGUGUGUUUCUGGUUACCCGCCCGACCCUAAACUUUUUUUUUUGUUUUUUUCCCAGUCGCGACUUUUACAUAUAACCCAACCGCGUGAACCGGAAGUUUUUGUCACUCACUGGGAAAAUCAGGGCUUUCCACAAGCGCCGGCUGCCGGCCAUACAGCCGACUACACAAUUAAGUCCAGCUGGCUACUUUAAUGACUAUUUUUGUAGCCCACAGGCUCUAAAUAUUAAUUUUCGAUUUUAAUAAAAUUAAAUGUUUAUCUAACGGACUGACAAUAAUGUCAAACUGAACCGCACUCAUUUAAGUUGUGAUUCGCGCUGUUUGUACUGAUAAUAACCACAAAUUCCCCGCCGACUUCGUUGAUCAGGGGAGAGUAACUCAUCCGCAGCCCCGACAUGCGGUGUGUGCGCGCACUCGGCGGAGGCAGUAGUGUGUCGGGGCCGUUGGAGGGAACAGAAGCAGAGAUGACGCUUAUUUUGUCUUUCACCUAGAGACAUGAUUCAAACUUUAAAACGGAGACAAAAUUCUCCUGUGUGGAUCUGGCAUUCAACUUUUUUGCUAGGCUCUAUACUUUUUGAUCAGUCACAGAUCAAACACCAUGAGCACAUCUGGAGAAAUUCAGACUUUAUAAUGGGUGUCUAUUGCGUUACACACCAGUGGAGUUUAGAGUGUAGGCAGCUUGAAAAAAAAAGCUCUAACUUUCUCAUUUAAACUGUUUUCUCAGCCACAAUUUUCUCAAAAGUUGUAGUCACACAUUGUGUGAAUCAAGACAAGUGUCUCCCUGAGUGAUAGGAUUUACAGUUUUUGAAUGAGAAGCCUGAAAGUAAGGAGAGGCCAGCCGCGCUCUCCCAUAGACUCGCAUUAUAAACCUGGCAGCGCUUUUACUGCAAAAUCAGAAAAGUCACUUGUUUUUAACUCGCUCUAGUGUCCACAUUUUUUACACUAGGGACAAAAAAAUUACAUUUAUGUGUUCAUGGGAGCCUUGUAGCACUCAAUGUGAAAGAAUUUUGUGAAUAGCUCCUUUCGUUUCCGUGUAAAUCAGCGUUGUUCGAGGAGAGGGAACUCUGAGAAAAAGCGCUCUUUGCUUGUUAUAUUGUGUCUUUUCCCUGCACCGUUACCAAGGCGACGAGCUCCACUCAGGGAGCAGAGAGGGGUGGGGCUGCUCUCUCUCUCUCUCUCUCUCUCUCUCUCUCUCUCUCUCAUGGUGUAUUGAGCUGUUAUAUUUACAGAAAAAUUCAUGUUAAAAGGUGUCUCAUGCUGCAUCAGAUUCAUCAGAAGGUGGUAACUCAGGUGACCUGCAAAGAAAUUCAUUAUAUUUUGUGAAAUUAUUCCUGUCUAAAUAUAGGUUAUGGCAGCCAUCUUGAAAAAAAAUUCAAAAAAAAAAAAGCCUGCCUACUGACCCUAGUUUUGAAAUCUACGUAACCGGAAACACUUUUUUUUUUUUUGGCCUAAUCUCUCCAUGGUUUAAUUGUUAGGCUGUGCAUGCUUUUUUCUCUUAUUCUUACUAACAUUUUGAUUUCAUUAUCAUAUCUUGAUCGCAUCAAGAUUUCAGUGGAUUCAGUAUUGUUAUGAGCUAGUGGGUUAGCUACCGGCUAGCCCUUUGUUACUUAGCAACACGUGCUCAGUAGGCCUCACCAGGCCUAACAAACACACUUUAACUAGGCCAUAGGGCCUUUCACAAGCACAUAUUAGCAACAGAGCUAAUCCUUUGUUCUAUUUAGAUAACAUUCCUUUGUCUUAGCUAGCCACACGGCUAAUUCCUUUGUUGUUAGCAAGCUAGGCUAACCUUUGCUUAGGCCUAAAGGCCUACACCAUGUGGUCACUCACAAGCCCACGUUAGCUAGCUCCCCUUUGUCUACUUAGCAACACAAAGCUAAUCUAGGCCUACCCAAACACAUACAAGGCCUUUCUCACACACACACACACACACACAC
Neoarius graeffei (lesser salmon catfish) is the source of this 4198-nucleotide long non-coding RNA. RefSeq lists it as uncharacterized. NCBI's taxonomy places the organism in Eukaryota, Metazoa, Chordata, Actinopteri, Siluriformes, Ariidae. The record is from RefSeq and is a predicted model, not a curated record. The transcript has 3 exons.